RNAcentral lists this ribosomal RNA (463 nucleotides) under Vreelandella stevensii. RNAcentral describes it as "partial 16S ribosomal RNA". It matches the Rfam family "Bacterial small subunit ribosomal RNA", at positions 338 to 795 of the family's 1533-position model. Lineage: Bacteria; Pseudomonadati; Pseudomonadota; Gammaproteobacteria; Oceanospirillales; Halomonadaceae. The record is from RNAcentral.
CCUACGGGGGCAGCAGUGGGGAAUAUUGGACAAUGGGCGAAAGCCUGAUCCAGCCAUGCCGCGUGUGUGAAGAAGGCCUUCGGGUUGUAAAGCACUUUCAGUGGGGAAGAAAGCCUUGGGGCUAAUACCCUCGAGGAAGGACAUCACCCACAGAAGAAGCACCGGCUAACUCCGUGCAGCAGCCGCGGUAAUACGGAGGGUGCGAGCGUUAAUCGGAAUUACUGGGCGUAAAGCGCGCGUAGGCGGUCUGAUAAGCCGGUUGUGAAAGCCCCGGGCUCAACCUGGGAACGGCAUCCGGAACUGUCAGGCUAGAGUGCAGGAGAGGAAGGUAGAAUUCCCGGUGUAGCGGUGAAAUGCGUAGAGAUCGGGAGGAAUACCAGUGGCGAAGGCGGCCUUCUGGACUGACACUGACGCUGAGGUGCGAAAGCGUGGGUAGCAAACAGGAUUAGAUACCCCUGUAGUC